GUUAAAUGCCUGGACAGGGAGAUUAGGCCUAACCCAGGGAGUGAGAGGAGUCAUCAAGGAUUAAGAAGAGGGAGUGGAAUGAGGAGAGAACUGUGCAUUAAAUAAUACUGCUGCUGGUGUUUAGAGUAGCUCAUGUGUAUCCAGUGUGCUCUUUCAAGACACUGUUACCCAUGUUGCAGGAAACUAUUGAAUUCACGUGGGUGUGGUUCUUGCUACUAUGAGAGUAUUAAGAAAAAAAUAAAAUUUCUUGUCAUCCUAAGAAUAUUGCCAGGCCUUCUUGUUCUGAAUCUGGCAUAAAUGUCUUCAGAUGUGUUUCAAAGUGGAAAAUGAAAGUCUGAGGCACCCUGAGAAGAACCAUCCACAGCAGCAUCUUGUGGGAUGAGGUUACAACAAUCUCUGUGAAGUUGCAUGUGCCUGUAGUCUCUGCUACUUGGGGGCUGAGGCAAGAAGAUGACUUGACCUCAGGAGGUCAAAGCUACAGUGAGCCAUGAUGACACCACUGCACUUCAGCCUGGGUGAUGGAGUGAAGAACUAAGGUUAAGCAAUUUUCCCAAUAUCUCAAUGAUCAUAAAUGGAAUUUCCUUAUUUGCUGUUAAAUAUCUGUGAAGUCUGCUGCGGUCUUCUCUACUACUCCUCAUAUUGGUCAAUUUAUACUUUUCUUCCUUUUUUCUUAGUCAUUCUUGCUAGAGGUUUAUCAAUUCCAUUGGCCUUUUCAAACCACAAGUUUUGGAUGUGAUUGAUUUGUCUCUACUGGGUUUCUGUUAUUGUUCUUUUUAAUUUCAUUGAUUUCUGCUCUUUUUCAUUUCCUCCCUUUGGCCUGCUUUGUGUUUAUAUUGCUCUUUUAUUUCUGGUUUCUUUGAUUGACUUAAGCGCUUGCUUUUAUUUCCCUCUAAAUUGCAUUCAGUGGGAGAGAGAAGAAGGUGUGAGCCUGCUCCAUCUUGUACAGAACCAGAGCCCUAGAGGCUGGGUUAAGUGAAACAUUAAGCAGCAGGGAAUAAUCCUGAGCUUUGGAAUCAAAUUGGCUUGGGUUCCAUUCACUAUCUACCUGACCAACUGUGUGUCUUUGGAAAAGCUCUUAGAAGUCUCAUUUUCUUGAUUACAGUUGUUAUAAAAUGAGACAAAAAUUAUUGUUUCUGGUGUUUCCAUGAGAAUGCUUAUAAGAGAAUGUAGAAAAGCUAUACAUAAUUGCUUGUUAGAUUUUUUUUUUUGUUCUUUCCCUUAUAGUCUUGAUUCUUUCAUUGGUUCAGAUUACAGAGGUUUGACUGUCCAUACACAUCACCACGACUCACAACAAAUCUUGGUUUCUUCACUGCUUGCAUCUUGACUUCUGCUACUUGCCUACUUAUUUAAUAUUCAAAUGUGCUCAGCAAUUAUUAAUCAUCUGUUUCAUGCCGGGUAUUGUGCUAAAUUUUUCCUCAUAUGUUAGUUUUUAGUGUCAAAUAUAUUCUUGUGAAAGACGUUGUUAUCAUUCCGACUUUUCUUUAGAGAUAAAAAAAAGACAAGUCCUUGCCAAGGUUACACAACUUGUAUGGUAUGAAACUAAGAUUCAAACCCAUGGCAGCUUGGCUCUAAUUCUGUGCUUUUCUUAAUGCACUGCAGCUGCUUCUCAUUUUCACCCUUUACCUGUCUGGCUUUCUCAGCAUCGGUCUGUUUACAUCCUCUAAGGGUUUAAAGGCCUCAGACCCAGGAUUGCUGACUCUAGCCUGGACAUCAGUCUCCCUUUACCACUUCAGCUGUGGCCCUGGUGCUCCCACCACCCACCAUCCAGACAUCAAAGUGUCAAACUCCAGGAGCAUGGCAGGCCCAGUGAAUUCAAGUCACGUCAACAUUCCACGUGAUGCUUCGGUCCUCAGUCAGUCGACUAAACCCUAAUGAACACAUGAUGGACUUGAACUGUACUAGAAUGACAUCCAGGUCCCAGGAGAAGGAAGGGACAGAGGGAAAGGAAGAGAGACCAGAGCGCUCUCUCUCUCUCUGCUGUGUGAGAACAGUCACAAGGCAGCCACCUGCAAACCAAGAAAAGAGAGCCCUCACCAGGAACAGAAUCUGCCAGCAUCUUGUUCUUGGACUUCCAGC
Piliocolobus tephrosceles (Ugandan red Colobus) is the source of this 2076-nucleotide long non-coding RNA. RefSeq lists it as uncharacterized. The record is from RefSeq and is a predicted model, not a curated record. The transcript is spliced from 4 exons. NCBI's taxonomy places the organism in Eukaryota, Metazoa, Chordata, Mammalia, Primates, Cercopithecidae.